CCUACGGGAGGCAGCAGUGAGGAAUAUUGGUCAAUGGGCGCGAGCCUGAACCAGCCAAGUCGCGUGAGGGAAGACGGUCCUAUGGAUUGUAAACCUCUUUUGUCGGGGAGCAAAAGACGCCACGCGUGGCGUUCCGAGAGUACCCGAAGAAAAAGCAUCGGCUAACUCCGUGCCAGCAGCCGCGGUAAUACGGAGGAUGCGAGCGUUAUCCGGAUUUAUUGGGUUUAAAGGGUGAGCAGGCGGAAGAUCAAGUCAGCGGUAAAAUUGAGAGGCUCAACCUCUUAGAGCCGUUGAAACUGGUUGUCUUGAGUGAGUGAGAAGUAUGCGGAAUGCGUGGUGUAGCGGUGAAAUGCAUAGAUAUCACGCAGAACUCCGAUUGCGAAGGCAGCAUACCGGCGCUCAACUGACGCUCAUGCACGAAAGUGUGGGUAUCGAACAGGAUUAGAUACCCGGGUAGUC
RNAcentral lists this ribosomal RNA (459 nucleotides) under uncultured bacterium. Its description in RNAcentral is "partial 16S ribosomal RNA". It matches the Rfam family "Bacterial small subunit ribosomal RNA", at positions 338 to 795 of the family's 1533-position model. The record is from RNAcentral.